This 293-nucleotide ribosomal RNA is filed under the name Salmonella enterica. RNAcentral's name for it is "partial 23S ribosomal RNA". It matches the Rfam family "Bacterial large subunit ribosomal RNA", at positions 911 to 1202 of the family's 2925-position model. The record is from RNAcentral. Lineage: Bacteria; Pseudomonadati; Pseudomonadota; Gammaproteobacteria; Enterobacterales; Enterobacteriaceae.
UGUUUCGGCUAGGGGGCCAUCCCGGCUUACCAACCCGAUGCAAACUGCGAAUACCGGAGAAUGUUAUCACGGGAGACACACGGCGGGUGCUAACGUCCGUCGUGAAGAGGGAAACAACCCAGACCGCCAGCUAAGGUCCCAAAGUCAUGGUUAAGUGGGAAACGAUGUGGGAAGGCCCAGACAGCCAGGAUGUUGGCUUAGAAGCAGCCAUCAUUUAAAGAAAGCGUAAUAGCUCACUGGUCGAGUCGGCCUGCGCGGAAGAUGUAACGGGGCUAAACCAUGCACCGAAGCUG